AUUGAACGCUGGCGGCAGGCCUAACACAUGCAAGUCGAGCGAGCGGGGGACGGGUGAGUAAUGUAUGGGGCUCUGCGCGAGAGAGGAGGAUAACUACUGGAAACGGAGGCUAAUACCGCACACUAUCGGAUGAACCCGUAUGGGUUGAGCUAGGGGGUGGGGUAAAGGCUCACCUAGGCGACGAUCUGUAGCUGGUCUGAGAGGAUGAUCAGCCACACUGGGACUGAGACACGGCCCAGACUCCUACGGGAGGCAGCAGUGGGGAAUAUUGGACAAUGGGCGCAAGCCUGAUGCAGCCAUGCCGCGUGUAUGAAGAAGGCCUUCGGGUUGUAAAGCACUUUCAGUUGGGAGGCGUUACCAGCAGAAUAAGCACCGGCUAACUCCGUGCCAGCCGCCGCGGUAAUAC
Molecule: ribosomal RNA, 406 nt
Filed under: uncultured bacterium
Lineage: Bacteria
Description: partial 16S ribosomal RNA
Rfam family: Bacterial small subunit ribosomal RNA
Source: RNAcentral